CCUACGGGUGGCAGCAGUAGGGAAUCUUUCACAAUGGGCGAAAGCCUGAUGGAGCAACGCCGCGUGAAGGAUGAAGGCCUUCGGGUUGUAAACUGCUUUUAUAAGCGAGAAAUAUGAUGGUAACUUAUGAAUAAGGAUCGGCUAACUACCUGACAGAAGCCGCGGUCAUACGUAGGAUACGAGCAUUAUCCGGAGUGACUGGGUGUAAAGAGUUGCGUAGGUGGCAUAAUAAGUAGCUAGUGAAAUCUGGUGGCUCAACCAUUCAGACUAUUAGCUAAACUGUUAAGCUCGAGACCGUUAGGGGUAACUGGAAUUUCUAGUGUAGGAGUGAAAUCCGUAGAUAUUAGAAGGAACACCAAUAGCGUAGGCAGGUUGCUGGGACGGUUCUGACACUAAGGCACGAAAGCGUAGGGAGCAAACGGGAUUAGAUACCCGAGUAGUC
This 442-nucleotide ribosomal RNA is filed under the name uncultured bacterium. RNAcentral describes it as "partial 16S ribosomal RNA". It matches the Rfam family "Bacterial small subunit ribosomal RNA", at positions 338 to 795 of the family's 1533-position model. The record is from RNAcentral.